CCCUUUAGGUAAAGAGAAUGCCCUAACUUGCUACCAUUCCCAUAAAUAUGUAAGAAUUGUGCUUCUUUCAUUCAUAAAGACUAAUGUCCUCCAUUUUGUCCGAGCUAUUCCACUCCAACGAUUACGCCCUUUUCUAAUUGGAUCGACUUGGAGCCCAGUCCGUCAUCAAGUGCAUGUCUAACAAGCAAAGUCCUCCUUCGGUACCAUAUAUAAACAAUGCAUCUUGCUCCAUUAAGCCGAAUCUUCCAAAAAAAAAA
This 257-nucleotide long non-coding RNA is filed under the name Eucalyptus grandis. RNAcentral describes it as "long non-coding RNA (EGRA_LNC004009)". Lineage: Eukaryota; Viridiplantae; Streptophyta; Magnoliopsida; Myrtales; Myrtaceae. The record is from RNAcentral.